RNAcentral lists this ribosomal RNA (497 nucleotides) under uncultured bacterium. RNAcentral's name for it is "partial 16S ribosomal RNA". It matches the Rfam family "Bacterial small subunit ribosomal RNA", at positions 28 to 507 of the family's 1533-position model. The record is from RNAcentral.
GAUGAACGCUGGCGGCGUGCCUAAUACAUGCAAGUCGAGCGAACAGAUGAGGAGCUUGCUCCUCUGACGUUAGCGGCGGACGGGUGAGUAACACGUGGAUAACCUACCUAUAAGACUGGGAUAACUUCGGGAAACCGGAGCUAAUACCGGAUAAUAUAUUGAACCGCAUGGUUCAAUAGUGAAAGACGGUUUUGCUGUCACUUAUAGAUGGAUCCGCGCCGCAUUAGCUAGUUGGUAAGGUAACGGCUUACCAAGGCAACGAUGCGUAGCCGACCUGAGAGGGUGAUCGGCCACACUGGAACUGGGACACGGGCCAGCCUCCUACGGGAGGCAGCAGUAGGGAAUCUUCGGCAAUGGGCGAAAGCCUGACGGAGCAACGCCGCGUGAGUGAUGAAGGUCUUCGGAUCGUAAAACUCUGUUAUUAGGGAAGAACAAAUGUGUAAGUAACUAUGCACGUCUUGACGGUACCUAAUCAGAAAGCCACGGCUAACUACGUG